GAGGUUCUUAUAGUUGAAUA
Molecule: transfer RNA, 20 nt
Filed under: Fundulus cingulatus (banded topminnow)
Lineage: Eukaryota; Metazoa; Chordata; Actinopteri; Cyprinodontiformes; Fundulidae
Description: partial tRNA-Glu
Source: RNAcentral